UGGCUCAGUUGGUAAAGAAUCUGCCUGCAAUGCAGGAGACCCAGGUUCAAUCCCUGG
Ovis aries (sheep) is the source of this 57-nucleotide transfer RNA. It matches the Rfam family "tRNA", at positions 8 to 63 of the family's 71-position model. Rfam says of the family: Transfer RNA (tRNA) molecules are approximately 80 nucleotides in length. Their secondary structure includes four short double-helical elements and three loops (D, anti-codon, and T loops). NCBI's taxonomy places the organism in Eukaryota, Metazoa, Chordata, Mammalia, Artiodactyla, Bovidae. The record is from Rfam.